UUUUUUCCAGGUCAUCUUUUUCAAAUAGGCGUGUUGGACGAUCCACCUCCGCCGCCGUCGCCAUAUAGCUCAAAUCUACAGCCGUCGUAGUCGUCACUGAAGGAAGUCGGCUUCGUCACCAUCCCAAUGACCGGAUUUAGUUCAGAGACGCCGUUAAAAUCGAUUCUCCUUACCCCCUCGUCAUCUAGUGUGGCGAACAGGUGAAAUCGACUAGAGAAGGUAAACGACGACGACGACAACGACUUUAAAGCCUGAAUUUUAAACGGCUCCCAUUACCCACCCACCCACCUCCAUAAAGAAAAUGUCAGCACAUACGAAAAGCCUUCAACAACCACAACUACUACUCAAUUUCAAUAAUAUCCCACAGAAUUCAGCUAUAUAUAUUCCAGAAUUCAGAAACGUAAACGCUUGUUUCUCUCUGUAUUUUUUUAUUUAUUGAGAAUACCAAAGAUUUCAAGUAAGUAAAGCAGCUAACGUACGUAUCUCAAGUUCGUGGAUUUACUUACAUUGAUCAAAACAACACCUCCCAUCCUCUCAUCAGAUUAGUUACAUUGCACACAAGAAAUUAGUCCCAUUUUCAUAAAACGCAACGCAACGUAACUGACUCCCAAAUCCAGCGCACGUAGCACCCCCCAUCUCCACAACGUACACAACCACGCAAACAAAACUACAAAUGAACAACAAAUCCCCCUCCUCUCCUUUAA
RNAcentral lists this long non-coding RNA (704 nucleotides) under Linum usitatissimum (flax). Its description in RNAcentral is "long non-coding RNA (LUSI_LNC003923)". The record is from RNAcentral. Lineage: Eukaryota; Viridiplantae; Streptophyta; Magnoliopsida; Malpighiales; Linaceae.